UGCAGUCGAGCGGACAGAUGGGAGCUUGCUCCCUGAUGUUAGCGGCGGACGGGUGAGUAACACGUGGGUAACCUGCCUGUAAGACUGGGAUAACUCCGGGAAACCGGGGCUAAUACCGGAUGCUUGUUUGAACCGCAUGGUUCAAACAUAAAAGGUGGCUUCGGCUACCACUUACAGAUGGACCCGCGGCGCAUUAGCUAGUUGGUGAGGUAACGGCUCACCAAGGCAACGAUGCGUAGCCGACCUGAGAGGGUGAUCGGCCACACUGGGACUGAGACACGGCCCAGACUCCUACGGGAGGCAGCAGUAGGGAAUCUUCCGCAAUGGACGAAAGUCUGACGGAGCAACGCCGCGUGAGUGAUGAAGGUUUUCGGAUCGUAAAGCUCUGUUGUUAGGGAAGAACAAGUACCGUUCGAAUAGGGCGGUACCUUGACGGUACCUAACCAGAAAGCCACGGCUAACUACGUGCCAGCAGCCGCGGUAAUACGUAGGUGGCAAGCGUUGUCCGGAAUUAUUGGGCGUAAAGGGCUCGCAGGCGGUUCCUUAAGUCUGAUGUGAAAGCCCCCGGCUCAACCGGGGAGGGUCAUUGGAAACUGGGGAACUUGAGUGCAGAAGAGGAGAGUGGAAUUCCACGUGUAGCGGUGAAAUGCGUAGAGAUGUGGAGGAACACCAGUGGCGAAGGCGACUCUCUGGUCUGUAACUGACGCUGAGGAGCGAAAGCGUGGGGAGCGAACAGGAUUAGAUACCCUGGUAGUCCACGCCGUAAACGAUGAGUGCUAAGUGUUAGGGGGUUUCCGCCCCUUAGUGCUGCAGCUAACGCAUUAAGCACUCCGCCUGGGGAGUACGGUCGCAAGACUGAAACUCAAAGGAAUUGACGGGGGCCCGCACAAGCGGUGGAGCAUGUGGUUUAAUUCGAAGCAACGCGAAGAACCUUACCAGGUCUUGACAUCCUCUGACAAUCCUAGAGAUAGGACGUCCCCUUCGGGGGCAGAGUGACAGGUGGUGCAUGGUUGUCGUCAGCUCGUGUCGUGAGAUGUUGGGUUAAGUCCCGCAACGAGCGCAACCCUUGAUCUUAGUUGCCAGCAUUCAGUUGGGCACUCUAAGGUGACUGCCGGUGACAAACCGGAGGAAGGUGGGGAUGACGUCAAAUCAUCAUGCCCCUUAUGACCUGGGCUACACACGUGCUACAAUGGACAGAACAAAGGGCAGCGAAACCGCGAGGUUAAGCCAAUCCCACAAAUCUGUUCUCAGUUCGGAUCGCAGUCUGCAACUCGACUGCGUGAAGCNGGAAUCGCUAGUAAUCGNNGNNCAGC
RNAcentral lists this ribosomal RNA (1313 nucleotides) under Bacillus sp. (in: firmicutes). RNAcentral's name for it is "bacterial SSU rRNA". It matches the Rfam family "Bacterial small subunit ribosomal RNA", at positions 56 to 1353 of the family's 1533-position model. The record is from RNAcentral. Lineage: Bacteria; Bacillati; Bacillota; Bacilli; Caryophanales; Bacillaceae.